Molecule: long non-coding RNA, 782 nt
Filed under: Fukomys damarensis (Damara mole-rat)
Lineage: Eukaryota; Metazoa; Chordata; Mammalia; Rodentia; Bathyergidae
Description: lncRNA (ENSFDAG00000033480.1)
Source: RNAcentral
GUUGAGCUUUGCUACUUGGAGUCUUCACUUAGCAUCUCAGAGGAGCUGGCUGUGGUUGUAGUGGGGCCUCUCAUGCUGAACACAGCCAUAUUUCUUUUGGUUCUGAUCAGAUGGGGCUGUCGGCUGCUGUUUGCCUCCUGCCCUGACGUCUUGUCAAAGUUAAUCAUUGCCAUGGGACUAUGGACGGUUCUAGACCCCCUGAUGGUGUUGAUAGUGGAUAUUUUCCUGGGGCGACUUACACGUAACGGCGAGGCCCCUAUAGCGGAUGCAGCCAAGCUCUACUGGGUGUUUGUAAGAACACAACAAUCACAAAGUCUUGCUGUGAUGAUCACCACACUACUUUACAUCUUCCUGUUCAUCAUUUCUUCCUUGAUUUUAUAUAUGUAUUGUCUCAGAGCUAUGAUACAGAUGGAAAGUGGUUAGAAAAAGGUAUCUUAAAAAGAAUGACUUUAAAUAUGAAUGUGGCACCAGUUUCCACACAGAGAUGAAAAUGCUGCAUGGAGGGGAUUUGUAGGACUACCUAGGGAAAGAAGAAGGAAUGAACAGACACUUGGAGGUUCGUGGUGGGGCGCAGAGGGAGGGAACAUAGGAUAGUUAUUAUGACCGGAGGAGGAGAACUCGCUUCUCCAAUAGACUGAGCGUUCUUGGAUGCGCCCCUUAGGUCACUAACAGAGCUGUAGUAAAAUUGCCUAGCUCUCCAGGGGAUGUGUGCUGUGUAAGCCCGGCUUGGUUUAUAUUUUGACAUGCUGUAAAUACUCUGUCUCAUCUUUUCGGGGCACUCG